GGAUCCAGACUUUGAUUAUGGCUCAGGACGAACGCUGGCGGCGCGCCUAACACAUGCAAGUCGAACGGAGUCAAGAGGAGCUUGCUUUUCUUGACUUAGUGGCGAACGGGUGAGUAACGCGUGAGUAACCUGCCCUGGAGUGGGGGACAACAGUUGGAGACGACUGCUAAUACCGCAUAAGCCCACGGCCCGGCAUCGGGCUGAGGGAAAAGGAUUUAUUCGCUUCAGGAUGGACUCGCGUCCAAUUAGCUAGUUGGUGAGGUAACGGCCCACCAAGGCGACGAUUGGUAGCCGGACUGAGAGGUUGAACGGCCACAUUGGGACUGAGACACGGCCCAGACUCCUACGGGAGGCAGCAGUGGGGGAUAUUGCACAAUGGGGGAAACCCUGAUGCAGCGACGCCGCGUGGAGGAAGAAGGUUUUCGGAUUGUAAACUCCUGUCGUUAGGGACGAUAAUGACGGUACCUAACAAGAAAGCACCGGCUAACUACGUGCCAGCAGCCGCGGUAAAACGUAGGGUGCAAGCGUUGUCCGGAAUUACUGGGUGUAAAGGGAGCGCAGGCGGACCGGCAAGUUGGAAGUGAAAACUAUGGGCUCAACCCAUAAAUUGCUUUCAAAACUGCUGGCCUUGAGUAGUGCAGAGGUAGGUGGAAUUCCCGGUGUAGCGGUGGAAUGCGUAGAUAUCGGGAGGAACACCAGUGGCGAAGGCGACCUACUGGGCACCAACUGACGCUGAGGCUCGAAAGCAUGGGUAGCAAACAGGAUUAGAUACCCUGGUAGUCCAUGCCGUAAACGAUGAUUACUAG
RNAcentral lists this ribosomal RNA (806 nucleotides) under uncultured Bacillota bacterium. RNAcentral's name for it is "bacterial SSU rRNA". It matches the Rfam family "Bacterial small subunit ribosomal RNA", at positions 1 to 819 of the family's 1533-position model. Lineage: Bacteria; Bacillati; Bacillota. The record is from RNAcentral.